This 461-nucleotide ribosomal RNA is filed under the name uncultured bacterium. Its description in RNAcentral is "partial 16S ribosomal RNA". It matches the Rfam family "Bacterial small subunit ribosomal RNA", at positions 338 to 795 of the family's 1533-position model. The record is from RNAcentral.
CCUACGGGUGGCAGCAGUGAGGAAUAUUGGUCAAUGGGCGGACGCCUGAACCAGCCAAGUCGCGUGAGGGAUUAAGGCCCUGCGGGUCGUACACCUCUUUUGCCGGGGAGCAGUGGUCCGGACGCGUCCGGACCGGGAGAGUACCCGGAGAAAACGCAUCGGCUAACUCCGUGACAGCAGCCGCGGUAAUACGGAGGAUGCGAGCGUUAUCCGGAUUUAUUGGGUUUAAAGGGAGCGUAGGACGGUCUUUUAGCGUGCCGUGAAAUUUUGUGGCUCAACCAUGAGAGUGCGGCGCGAACUGGAGACCUUGAGUGCGCGGAAGGCAGGCGGAAUUCGUGGUGUAGCGGUGAAAUGCUUAGAUAUCACGAAGAACCCCGAUUGCGAAGGCAGCCUGCCGCAGCGUUACUGACGCUGAAGCUCGAAAGCGCGGGUAUCGAACAGGAUUAGAUACCCGGGUAGUC